AAUUCAGGGGAAGCGCAAGGCCCAUCAGAGCAGGAGAUGAAGUUGCUCCGCUCAGGGCAGCCGGCACAGCCCGGUUGACCGAGGCAGAUGGGAUACGAGGUGGAAGUCAUCGAACGAUCUGCGGAUGCUUCCAGGGUGGCACCGAACCCUCCCCCCACGCACAGCGUGGAAGCAGAGCC
RNAcentral lists this non-coding RNA (179 nucleotides) under Deinococcus peraridilitoris. Its description in RNAcentral is "GlcN6P sequence". It matches the Rfam family "glmS glucosamine-6-phosphate activated ribozyme aptamer". From Rfam's summary of the family: This entry contains a glucosamine-6-phosphate activated ribozyme that is found in the mRNA for GlmS. RNAcentral also lists the same sequence under 1 other name. Lineage: Bacteria; Thermotogati; Deinococcota; Deinococci; Deinococcales; Deinococcaceae. The record is from RNAcentral.